CAUUUAUUUAAAUUUAUCAAAAUAAAAAAAAAGUAUUCAACAAAGCGCCCAGUGUAUUUUUCUAGUAAAACUAAAAAAAAUAUAUUGAAAAAAUCGAAAUGCAAUAAAUAGGUAAACAAAAAUAACAAAAAUUAAUGUUUGUUCAUUUAACUACAACAACAACUAACAACCAACGGCAGCUGACAGCUGCUUAUGCAUUUUCAUCAGAAUACAAAUACGAAUAUAAAUAUAUUUUUUAAAAACGUAAACUAACAAUAAAUAUUAAAAAAAAACAAAAAAACAAAAAAUAAUAAGAAACAUUAAAUUUGAACGGCAUUUUUUACAUACGUUUCGAGACGGGGCUUGCCCCCAAAAAUAAUAAUAAUAAAUUAUAUAUAAAUCGAAGCAAGUUGACCACCCAUAACAACAACAACAACAAAUGAUUGUUUCUUUAUUAACUUCGAAGACAAGGAAUUUCAGUGCCUCUUGUGCCAGUGUUUAGCCAAAAUAUAUAUACACAAAA
This is a long non-coding RNA of Drosophila arizonae, 502 nucleotides long. Lineage: Eukaryota; Metazoa; Arthropoda; Insecta; Diptera; Drosophilidae. The record is from RefSeq and is a predicted model, not a curated record.